UGCAGUCGAGCGGACAGAUGGGAGCUUGCUCCCUGAUGUUAGCGGCGGACGGGUGAGUAACACGUGGGUAACCUGCCUGUAAGACUGGGAUAACUCCGGGAAACCGGGGCUAAUACCGGAUGCUUGAUUGAACCGCAUGGUUCAAUUAUAAAAGGUGGCUUUUAGCUACCACUUACAGAUGGACCCGCGGCGCAUUAGCUAGUUGGUGAGGUAACGGCUCACCAAGGCAACGAUGCGUAGCCGACCUGAGAGGGUGAUCGGCCACACUGGGACUGAGACACGGCCCAGACUCCUACGGGAGGCAGCAGUAGGGAAUCUUCCGCAAUGGACGAAAGUCUGACGGAGCAACGCCGCGUGAGUGAUGAAGGUUUUCGGAUCGUAAAACUCUGUUGUUAGGGAAGAACAAGUACCGUUCGAAUAGGGCGGUACCUUGACGGUACCUAACCAGAAAGCCACGGCUAACUACGUGCCAGCAGCCGCGGUAAUACGUAGGUGGCAAGCGUUGUCCGGAAUUAUUGGGCGUAAAGCGCGCGCAGGCGGUUUCUUAAGUCUGAUGUGAAAGCCCCCGGCUCAACCGGGGAGGGUCAUUGGAAACUGGGGAACU
Molecule: ribosomal RNA, 604 nt
Filed under: Bacillus sp. (in: firmicutes)
Lineage: Bacteria; Bacillati; Bacillota; Bacilli; Caryophanales; Bacillaceae
Description: bacterial SSU rRNA
Rfam family: Bacterial small subunit ribosomal RNA
Source: RNAcentral